This 407-nucleotide ribosomal RNA is filed under the name uncultured bacterium. Its description in RNAcentral is "partial 16S ribosomal RNA". It matches the Rfam family "Bacterial small subunit ribosomal RNA", at positions 28 to 526 of the family's 1533-position model. The record is from RNAcentral.
GACGAACGCUGGCGGCGUGCCUAAUACAUGCAAGUAGGACGCAGUUGCGAACGGGUGAGUAACGCGUAGGUAACUGCCUAUUAGAGGGGGAUAACUAUUGGAAACGAUAGCUAAUACCGCAUACUAGUAGAUGGACCUGCGUUGUAUUAGCUAGUAGGUAGGGUAAUGGCCUACCUAGGCAAAGAUACAUAGCCGACCCUGAGAGGUGGUCGGGCAAACUUGGACUGGGGCAAGGGCCCAACGCCUUCGGUAGGCAGCAGUAGGGAAUCUUUGUCAAUUGGGGGAAACCUGAACGAGCAAAGCCGCGUGAGUGAAGAAGGUUUUCGGAUCGUAAAACUCUGUUGUUAGGGGAGCGUUACUUAACCAGAAAGGGACGGCUAACUACGUGCCAGCCGCCGCGGUAAUAC